RNAcentral lists this transfer RNA (73 nucleotides) under Salmo salar (Atlantic salmon). It matches the Rfam family "tRNA". Rfam says of the family: Transfer RNA (tRNA) molecules are approximately 80 nucleotides in length. Their secondary structure includes four short double-helical elements and three loops (D, anti-codon, and T loops). Further hydrogen bonds mediate the characteristic L-shaped molecular structure. tRNAs have two regions of fundamental functional importance: the anti-codon, which is responsible for specific mRNA codon recognition, and the 3' end, to which the tRNAs corresponding amino acid is attached (by aminoacyl-tRNA synthetases). tRNAs cope with the degeneracy of the genetic code in two manners: having more than one tRNA (with a specific anti-codon) for a particular amino acid; and 'wobble' base-pairing, i.e. permitting non-standard base-pairing at the 3rd anti-codon position. The record is from Rfam by way of RNAcentral. Lineage: Eukaryota; Metazoa; Chordata; Actinopteri; Salmoniformes; Salmonidae.
GUCCCUGUGGCUCAGUUGGUAGAGCAUGGUGUGUGCAACGCCAGGGUUGUGGGUUGGAUUCCCAUGGGGGGCC